GGAUCCAGACUUUGAUUAUGGCUCAGGAUGAACGCUGGCGGCAUGCCUAAGACAUGCAAGUCGAACGAGAUGGCCCAGUGAAGGUUGCGUGCUUGCACAAGACUGAAUCUGGAUCACCAUCUAGUGGCAGACGGGUGAGUAACACGUGGGUGACCUACCUUUUCGUUGGGGAUAACAGUUGGAAACGAUUGCUAAUACCGAAUAAAAUAUAAGAGCCAAUUUUAUAUUGAAAGGAGCCUUUAAAGCUUCGCGAUUAGAUGGGCCUGCGGCGUAUUAACUUGUUGGUGAGGUAACGGCUCACCAAGGUAACGAUGCGUAGCCGAACUGAGAGGUUGAUCGGCCACACUGGGACUGAGACACGGCCCAGACUCCUACGGGAGACAGCGGUUAGGAAUAUUCGUCAAUGGGGGAAACCCUGAACGAGCAAUGCCGCGUGAGUGAUGACGGUCCUUUGGAUUGUAAAACUCUGUUGUAUGGAAAAAAUGACUAGGUUAGGAAAUGAACCUAGUGUGAUGGUACCAUACCAGAAAGCCCCGGCUAACUACGUGCCAGCAGCCGCGGUAAUACGUAGGGGGCAAGCGUUAUCCGGAUUUAUUGGGCGUAAAGCGUGUGUAGGCGGUUUGUUAAGUUUAAGAUUAAAGCCUGGGGCUCAACUCCAGUUCGUCUUAAAAACUGGCAGACUAGAGUACGGUAGAGGCAAACGGAAUUUCUAGUGUAGCGGUGAAAUGCGUAGAUAUUAGAAGGAACACCAGUGGCGAAAGCGGUUUGCUGGGCCGUUACUGACGCUGAGGCACGAAAGCGUGGGGAGCAAAUAGGAUUAGAUACCCUAGUAGUCCACGCCGUAAACGAUGAGUACUAAGUGUUGGGGUUUCCCAGUGCUGAAGCUAACGUAUUAAGUACUCCGCCUGAGUAGUACGGUCGCAAGGCUGCAACUCAAAGGAAUUGACGG
RNAcentral lists this ribosomal RNA (949 nucleotides) under uncultured Bacillota bacterium. RNAcentral's name for it is "bacterial SSU rRNA". It matches the Rfam family "Bacterial small subunit ribosomal RNA", at positions 1 to 916 of the family's 1533-position model. The record is from RNAcentral. Lineage: Bacteria; Bacillati; Bacillota.